Cajanus cajan (pigeon pea) is the source of this 625-nucleotide long non-coding RNA. RefSeq lists it as uncharacterized. The record is from RefSeq and is a predicted model, not a curated record. NCBI's taxonomy places the organism in Eukaryota, Viridiplantae, Streptophyta, Magnoliopsida, Fabales, Fabaceae.
AAUCAUCCACCGAUACAUUUUUUUCAGCGUUGGGUUGAGAUAGGAGGGAGGACCGGACAUAGUAUCGGAAUAACCAAAACAAAACAAAAGGAUGAUGUUGUUCGGCAAACACGUAAGUCGACGCCAAAUUACAGGUUGGGCCUCUGGGUUUCUGUUCUUUGCGUCGUCAGCGUACGAUGUGCAUUAUGUGAAUACAUACAUCAAGAACAACGGAAAACCCCCUUGCCGGGACCAACUCCAAGCCAUUCAUGACUACCUCAAUUCUCGAAAGGAUAAGUAGUUAUGUUAUGAUAGGAUAGGAAGUGUUCCUUAUUGUUUUUUUUUUUUUUGUUUACCACGUUAAGUUAGCAGAAAACGUGGGCUGCAGUUUCUUUUUGAGAAGGCUAUUUAUUAGCCAAACACUUGCUGAAUAAAAUAAUCAUCUCCCAGAAUUGUUUUGAGUUCUUCUCUUUAAACUUUUGUUCUUAACAGUCGCUUCCCUUAAAAUCCACACCCUGUAUUAUGCCACGUCAUCCUAUCACCAAUUCCCAAUUCUCAAUUCUCCUUCUCCCCAACCUUUUCUUUUCCUAUAUCUUUCUAUAUGUAUGCUAAACCAUCCAUCAAUAAAUUGUAGUAAAAAUUCAUG